GGUCAAGUGAAGAAGCGCAUACGGUGGAUGCCUUGGCAGUCAGAGGCGAUGAAAGACGUGGUAGCCUGCGAAAAGCUUCGGGGAGUCGGCAAACAGACUGUGAUCCGGAGAUGUCUGAAUGGGGGAACCCAGCCAUCAUAAGAUGGUUAUCUUGUACUGAAUACAUAGGUGCAAGAGGCGAACCAGGGAACUGAAACAUCUAAGUACCCUGAGGAAAAGAAAUCAACCGAGAUUCCCUUAGUAGUGGCGAGCGAACGGGGACCAGCCCUUAAGUUGUAUUGAGAUUAGCGGAACGUUCUGGAAAGGACGGCCAUAGUGGGUGAUAGCCCUGUACGCGAAAAUCCCUUUGCAAUGAAAUCGAGUAGGACGGGGCACGAGAAACCUUGUCUGAAUAUGGGGGGACCAUCCUCCAAGGCUAAAUACUACUGACUGACCGAUAGUGAACCAGUACCGUGAGGGAAAGGCGAAAAGAACCGCGGAGAGCGGAGUGAAAUAGAUCCUGAAACCGUAUGCGUACAAGCAGUGGGAGCCCACUUGUUGGGUGACUGCGUACCUUUGUAUAAUGGGUCAGCGACUUAUUUUCAGUGGCGAGCUUAACCGAAUAGGGAGGCGUAGCGAAAGCGAGUCUUAAUAGGGCGUCUAGUCGCUGGGAAUAGACCCGAAACCGGGCGAUCUAUCCAUGGGCAGGUUGAAGGUUGGGUAACACUAACUGGAGGACCGAACCGACUACCGUUGAAAAGUUAGCGGAUGACCUGUGGAUCGGAGUGAAAGGCUAAUCAAGCUCGGAGAUAGCUGGUUCUCCUCGAAAGCUAUUUAGGUAGCGCCUCAUGUAUCACUGUAGGGGGUAGAGCACUGUUUCGGCUAGGGGGUCAUCCCGACUUACCAAACCGAUGCAAACUCCGAAUACCUACAAGUGCCGAGCAUGGGAGACACACGGCGGGUGCUAACGUCCGUCGUGAAAGGGAAACAACCCAGACCGUCAGCUAAGGUCCCAAAGUCAUGGUUAAGUGGGAAACGAUGUGGGAAGGCUUAGACAGCUAGGAGGUUGGCUUAGAAGCAGCCACCCUUUAAAGAAAGCGUAAUAGCUCACUAGUCGAGUCGGCCUGCGCGGAAGAUGUAACGGGGCUCAAACCAUGCACCGAAGCUACGGGUAUCAUCUUUUGAUGAUGCGGUAGAGGAGCGUUCUGUAAGCCUGUGAAGGUGAGUUGAGAAGCUUGCUGGAGGUAUCAGAAGUGCGAAUGCUGACAUGAGUAACGACAAUGGGUGUGAAAAACACCCACGCCGAAAGACCAAGGUUUCCUGCGCAACGUUAAUCGACGCAGGGUUAGUCGGUCCCUAAGGCGAGGCUGAAAAGCGUAGUCGAUGGAAAACAGGUUAAUAUUCCUGUACUUCUGGUUAUUGCGAUGGAGGGACGGAGAAGGCUAGGCCAGCCUGGCGUUGGUUGUCCAGGUUUAAGGUGGUAGGCUGAGAUCUUAGGUAAAUCCGGGAUCUUAAGGCCGAGAGCUGAUGACGAGUGUUCUUUUAGAACACGAAGUGGUUGAUGCCAUGCUUCCAAGAAAAGCUUCUAAGCUUCAGGUAACCAGGAACCGUACCCCAAACCGACACAGGUGGUUGGGUAGAGAAUACCAAGGCGCUUGAGAGAACUCGGGUGAAGGAACUAGGCAAAAUGGCACCGUAACUUCGGGAGAAGGUGCGCCGGUGGAGGUGAAGCAUUUACUGCGUAAGCCCCUGCCGGUCGAAGAUACCAGGCCGCUGCGACUGUUUAUUAAAAACACAGCACUCUGCAAACACGAAAGUGGACGUAUAGGGUGUGACGCCUGCCCGGUGCCGGAAGGUUAAUUGAUGGGGUUAGCGCAAGCGAAGCUCUUGAUCGAAGCCCCGGUAAACGGCGGCCGUAACUAUAACGGUCCUAAGGUAGCGAAAUUCCUUGUCGGGUAAGUUCCGACCUGCACGAAUGGCGUAACGAUGGCGGCGCUGUCUCCACCCGAGACUCAGUGAAAUUGAAAUCGCUGUGAAGAUGCAGUGUAUCCGCGGCUAGACGGAAAGACCCCGUGAACCUUUACUAUAGCUUUGCACUGGACUUUGAAUUUGCUUGUGUAGGAUAGGUGGGAGGCUUUGAAGCGUGGACGCCAGUCUGCGUGGAGCCAACCUUGAAAUACCACCCUGGCAACUUUGAGGUUCUAACUCAGGUCCGUUAUCCGGAUCGAGGACAGUGUAUGGUGGGUAGUUUGACUGGGGCGGUCUCCUCCUAAAGAGUAACGGAGGAGUACGAAGGUGCGCUCAGACCGGUCGGAAAUCGGUCGUAGAGUAUAAAGGCAAAAGCGCGCUUGACUGCGAGACAGACACGUCGAGCAGGUACGAAAGUAGGUCUUAGUGAUCCGGUGGUUCUGUAUGGAAGGGCCAUCGCUCAACGGAUAAAAGGUACUCCGGGGAUAACAGGCUGAUACCGCCCAAGAGUUCAUAUCGACGGCGGUGUUUGGCACCUCGAUGUCGGCUCAUCACAUCCUGGGGCUGAAGCCGGUCCCAAGGGUAUGGCUGUUCGCCAUUUAAAGUGGUACGCGAGCUGGGUUUAGAACGUCGUGAGACAGUUCGGUCCCUAUCUGCCGUGGACGUUUGAGAUUUGAGAGGGGCUGCUCCUAGUACGAGAGGACCGGAGUGGACGAACCUCUGGUGUUCCGGUUGUCACGCCAGUGGCAUUGCCGGGUAGCUAUGUUCGGAAAAGAUAACCGCUGAAAGCAUCUAAGCGGGAAACUUGCCUCAAGAUGAGAUCUCACUGGAACCUUGAGUUCCCUAAAGGGCCGUCGAAGACUACGACGUUGAUAGGUUGGGUGUGUAAGCGCUGUGAGGCGUUGAGCUAACCAAUACUAAUUGCCCGUGAGGCUUGACCAU
RNAcentral lists this ribosomal RNA (2889 nucleotides) under Pseudomonas syringae. RNAcentral describes it as "23S ribosomal RNA". It matches the Rfam family "Bacterial large subunit ribosomal RNA". The record is from RNAcentral. Lineage: Bacteria; Pseudomonadati; Pseudomonadota; Gammaproteobacteria; Pseudomonadales; Pseudomonadaceae.